ACAGGCUGGGCAGUAUGGUUAGAGAUCUUUGGAUUAGAGGCCGGGGAGAAGGGUUAGAGAUAUUUGGGUUACAGGCUAGGCAGUAUGGUUAGAGAUCUUUGGACUAGAGGCCUUCUCCCCGGCCUCUAAUCCAAAGAUCUCUAACCAUACUGCCUAUUAUUU
Molecule: microRNA precursor, 162 nt
Filed under: Pelobates cultripes (western spadefoot toad)
Lineage: Eukaryota; Metazoa; Chordata; Amphibia; Anura; Pelobatidae
Source: RNAcentral